Molecule: ribosomal RNA, 437 nt
Filed under: uncultured Oscillospiraceae bacterium
Lineage: Bacteria; Bacillati; Bacillota; Clostridia; Eubacteriales; Oscillospiraceae
Description: bacterial SSU rRNA
Rfam family: Bacterial small subunit ribosomal RNA
Source: RNAcentral
ACGGAAGGCAGCAGUGGGGAAUAUUGGGCAAUGGGGGCAACCCUGACCCAGCAACGCCGCGUGAAGGAAGAAGGCUUUCGGGUUGUAAACUUCUUUUACCAGGGACGAAGAAAGUGACGGUACCUGGAGAAAAAGCUACGGCUAACUACGUGCCAGCAGCCGCGGUAAUACGUAGGUAGCAAGCGUUGUCCGGAUUUACUGGGUGUAAAGGGCGUGUAGGCGGAGAUGCAAGUCAGGAGUGAAAUCUAUGGGCUUAACCCAUAAACUGCUUUUGAAACUGUAUCCCUUGAGUAUCGGAGAGGCAGGCGGAAUUCCGAGUGUAGCGGUGAAAUGCGUAGAUAUUCGGAGGAACACCAGUGGCGAAGGCGGCCUGCUGGGCUCUAACUGACGCUGAGGCUCGAAAGUGUGGGGAGCAAACAGGAUUAGAUAUCCUGGUA